This is a non-coding RNA of Camelina sativa (false flax), 609 nucleotides long. Lineage: Eukaryota; Viridiplantae; Streptophyta; Magnoliopsida; Brassicales; Brassicaceae. The record is from RefSeq and is a predicted model, not a curated record.
CAGGAGAAGCAGCCGACGACGACUCCGCAGUUGCGGCUUCGUCGGAGAAAGCAAAUCUGAAAGCUGAAGUUUUGGUUUCGCCUUAUCGAGAGAGAAAAAAUCUUGCGUGUGUUCUCUUUGAGUAAUUACGAAAAGGAGAUCGAGGAACUCGAUAACAUGAAUAGGCAAGAAUUUGUUGCCAUGUUGAGGAGGAAUAGUAGUGGGUUUUUGGAGGGGAGCUUCCGUUUACAGAGGAGUUACAAGGCAUCAUCAACAUGGAAGAUGGCAAGCUAGAAUCGGAAGAGUUGCUGGAAACAAGGACCUGUACCUUGGCACAUUUAGUACGCAAGAAGAAGCAGCGGAGGCGUAUGAUAUCGCGGCAAUAAAAUUCAGAGGCUUAAACGCUGUAACCAAUUUCGAUAUAAACAGAUAUGACGUGAAGAGGUAUAUAGCAUGUAGUUUAAAUAUAUGUCUGCAUGUGUAUGUUAGUAUGUAUGCAAAUUGCUUUAAAUAUCUUGUUGAUGACGAAGUUGUUGUGUAUAGCUUUAUUAAAAUCGGCUCCAUACCUCACAGUCACAGAUAAAUGAUUUCAUCAGAAUCCACUUUACGUGUGUCUCUUCCCUCCCUUGC